Molecule: transfer RNA, 87 nt
Filed under: Spiribacter vilamensis
Lineage: Bacteria; Pseudomonadati; Pseudomonadota; Gammaproteobacteria; Chromatiales; Ectothiorhodospiraceae
Description: Halopeptonella vilamensis tRNA-Leu
Rfam family: tRNA
About the family: Transfer RNA (tRNA) molecules are approximately 80 nucleotides in length. Their secondary structure includes four short double-helical elements and three loops (D, anti-codon, and T loops).
Source: RNAcentral
GCCGAGGUGGCGGAACAGGUAGACGCGCCGGAUUCAAAAUCCGGUUCUCGCAAGAGAGUGCGGGUUCGAGCCCCGCCCUCGGCACCA